AGUGAACGCUGGCGGUAGGCCUAACACAUGCAAGUCGAACGGCAGCACAGUAAGAGCUUGCUCUUACGGGUGGCGAGUGGCGGACGGGUGAGGAAUACAUCGGAAUCUACUUUUUCGUGGGGGAUAACGUAGGGAAACUUACGCUAAUACCGCAUACGACCUACGGGUGAAAGCAGGGGAUCUUCGGACCUUGCGCGAUUGAAUGAGCCGAUGUCGGAUUAGCUAGUUGGCGGGGUAAAGGCCCACCAAGGCGACGAUCCGUAGCUGGUCUGAGAGGAUGAACAGGCCACACGGAAACUGAGACAGGGCCCAACUCCCUACGGAAGGCACCGGUGGGAAAAAUUGGCAAAGGGGGGCAGGCCUGUCCCAGCCAUCCCGGGUGGGUAAAGAAGGCCUUCGGGUUGUAAAGCCUUUUGUUGGGAAAGAAAAGCAGCAGGUUAAUACCCCGCUGUUCUGACGGUACCCAAAGAAUAAGCACCGGCUAACUUCGUG
RNAcentral lists this ribosomal RNA (492 nucleotides) under uncultured bacterium. Its description in RNAcentral is "partial 16S ribosomal RNA". It matches the Rfam family "Bacterial small subunit ribosomal RNA", at positions 29 to 507 of the family's 1533-position model. The record is from RNAcentral.